CGUACCUACUACAUGGAUAACUGUAGUAAUUCUAGAGCUAAUACAUGCCACUAUGCCCUGACCCGCAAGGGGAUGGGUGGAUUUAUUAGAACAGAACCAACCGGUUGUGGUUUCGGCCACUUCCGUGACAUUCUGUGAUGACUCUGGAUAACUUCACUGAUCGCAGUCGGCCUUGUGUCGGCGACGGAUCUUUCAAAUGUCUGCCCUAUCAAUUUACGAUGGUAGGUGAUCUGCCUACCAUGGUGAUAACGGGUAACGGGGAAUCAGGGUUCGAUUCCGGAGAGGGAGCCUGAGAAACGGCUACCACUUCCAAGGAAGGCAGCAGGCGCGCAAAUUACCCAAUCCCGGCACGGGGAGGUAGUGACGAAAAAUACGGAUACGGGACUCAACAGAGGCUCCGUAAUUCGAAUGAGUACAAUUUAAAUCCUUUAACGAGGAUCAACUGGAGGGCAAGUCUGGUGCCAGCAGCCGCGGUAAUUCCAGCUCCAGAAGCGUAUAUUAAAGUUGUUGCAGUUAAAAAGCUCGUAGUUGGAUCUGGGUCGCAUGGCUACGUGCCGUCACUUAUAUUCCUGGUCUGGUUACGGUCGGGCUGGGUUUGUGAGUCGGUUUCGUGGCUGUGUAGCCUUUCUGCCGUGUCUGUUUCGACAGGUGCUGACGGUUUAUCUGUUGGCAUGCUUCCAAAUGCCCUUAACC
This 693-nucleotide ribosomal RNA is filed under the name Collyriclum faba. RNAcentral's name for it is "SSU rRNA". It matches the Rfam family "Eukaryotic small subunit ribosomal RNA", at positions 127 to 762 of the family's 1831-position model. Lineage: Eukaryota; Metazoa; Platyhelminthes; Trematoda; Plagiorchiida; Collyriclidae. The record is from RNAcentral.